AGUGAACGCUGGCGGUAGGCCUAACACAUGCAAGUCGAACGGCAGCACAGUAAGAGCUUGCUCUUACGGGUGGCGAGUGGCGGACGGGUGAGGAAUACAUCGGAAUCUACUUUUUCGUGGGGGAUAACGUAGGGAAACUUACGCUAAUACCGCAUACGACCUACGGGUGAAAGCAGGGGAUCUUCGGGCCUUGCGCGAUUGAAUGAGCCGAUGUCGGAUUAGCUAGUUGGCGGGGUAAAGGCCCACCAAGGCGACGAUCCGUAGCUGGUCUGAGAGGAUGAUCAGCCACACUGGAACUGAGACACGGUCCAGACUCCUACGGGAGGCAGCAGUGGGGAAUAUUGGACAAUGGGCGCAAGCCUGAUCCAGCCGUACCGCGUGGGUGAAGAAGGCCUUCGGGUUGUAAAGCCCUUUUGUUGGGAAAGAAAAGCAGCAGGUUAAUACCCCGCUGUUCUGACGGUACCCAAAGAAUAAGCACCGGCUAACUUCGUG
This 492-nucleotide ribosomal RNA is filed under the name uncultured bacterium. RNAcentral's name for it is "partial 16S ribosomal RNA". It matches the Rfam family "Bacterial small subunit ribosomal RNA", at positions 29 to 507 of the family's 1533-position model. The record is from RNAcentral.